Molecule: small nuclear RNA, 157 nt
Organism: Dromiciops gliroides (monito del monte)
Lineage: Eukaryota; Metazoa; Chordata; Mammalia; Microbiotheria; Microbiotheriidae
Product: U1 spliceosomal RNA
Exons: 1
Source: RefSeq, a predicted model, not a curated record
AUACUUAACUGGCAGAGGUGAAUCAGGAAAGUGGUUUCUCCAAGGCAAGACUUAUCCAUUGCACUCUGGAUGGUCUGAUCCCUGUGAUUUCCCCAAUGUAUACAACUUUACUGUACAAUUUAUGGUAGUAGGGGACUGGGUUCAUGCUCUUCUCUUA